AGGUUAAAUAAUGGUUCAAAAGCUACUAAAGUGUUUACCACAAACCUUGGUAAAUCACCUUGAAUGACACACACACACACAAUAUUUGGUGUUCAAAGCAGCUUUACAGGCUCAGAAAUGCUACCUGUAUCCCCAGCAGAUAGAGUGGGGGUCAGUGUGGCACUCUUGGUCAGGGUCUUCCGGAGGGAAGCUGGAUCGUCAUUCUCUCAAAGAAGACCUCGACUAAGAAGCCCUGACGCCACAAGCAUCAAGGACAGACCCUCUGCAGAGGAGAGAUCAGAGCUGUCAUUGUUUGGCUAAAAAGAUCCUCAGUGGCAAAGACUGUUUUGCGAGAGAAGCAACAUCUCCUUAGCCUGCCUCAUAUGUUGCAUCAAGUGACAAUACUCUAACCUGAGGCCAAGUCCUUCCUAUCCUGAAGAAACUUGAAGAACACUUCAAAUUUCAAGAGGAGGACACACUCUUUGUGGCUGGAAUAAAGCAGAAGGUUUGGGCAGAUCUGUCCAAGUGGUACCAGAUACAUCAAACUGUAAAUGACAAUACCAUCUGUAUUUUUCUGAGAAUUUCCUAUAAUUUAUUUUGAAAAUUAAGAUGUAUUGAAAUUCCAAAUAAAGAUUACUGCUUAGUGCUUAAAA
Onychostoma macrolepis is the source of this 632-nucleotide long non-coding RNA. RefSeq lists it as uncharacterized. The transcript is spliced from 3 exons. NCBI's taxonomy places the organism in Eukaryota, Metazoa, Chordata, Actinopteri, Cypriniformes, Cyprinidae. The record is from RefSeq and is a predicted model, not a curated record.